This 985-nucleotide ribosomal RNA is filed under the name marine bacterium HA-25. RNAcentral describes it as "bacterial SSU rRNA". It matches the Rfam family "Bacterial small subunit ribosomal RNA", at positions 1 to 986 of the family's 1533-position model. The record is from RNAcentral.
UAGAGUUUGAUCCUGGCUCAGGAUGAACGCUAGCGGCAGGCCUAACACAUGCAAGUCGAGGGGUAACAUGGAAAAGCUUGCUUUUUUGAUGACGACCGGCGCACGGGUGCGGAACGCGUAUGGAACCUGCCCCUGUCAGGGGAAUAGCCCAGGGAAACUUGGAUUAAUGCCCCAUGGUAUCACGGGAUCGCAUGAUUUUGUGAUUAAAGAUUUAUCGGACAGGGAUGGCCAUGCGUACCAUUAGUUAGUUGGUGAGGUAACGGCUUACCAAGGCAGCGAUGGUUAGGGGCCCUGAGAGGGGGAUCCCCCACACUGGUACUGAGACACGGACCAGACUCCUACGGGAGGCAGCAGUGAGGAAUAUUGGACAAUGGGCGGGAGCCUGAUCCAGCCAUGCCGCGUGCAGGAUGACGGCCCUAUGGGUUGUAAACUGCUUUUAUACGGGAAGAAACGCGCCCACGUGUGGGCGUCUGACGGUACCGUAAGAAUAAGGACCGGCUAACUCCGUGCCAGCAGCCGCGGUAAUACGGAGGGUCCGAGCGUUAUCCGGAAUCAUUGGGUUUAAAGGGUCCGUAGGCGGGCCUGUAAGUCAGGGGUGAAAGUUUGUGGCUCAACCAUAAAAUUGCCUUUGAUACUGCAGGUCUUGAGUCAUGGUGGGGUCGCCGGAACAUGUGGUGUAGCGGUGAAAUGCAUAGAUAUCACAUAGAACACCGAUCGCGAAGGCAGGUGGCCAACCAUGUACUGACGCUGAUGGACGAAAGCGUGGGUAGCGAACGGGAUUAGAUACCCCGGUAGUCCACGCCGUAAACGAUGGAUACUAGCUGUGGGGACUUCGGUCUCCGUGGCCAAGCGAAAGUGAUAAGUAUCCCACCUGGGGAGUACGUUCGCAAGAAUGAAACUCAAAGGAAUUGACGGGGGCCCGCACAAGCGGUGGAGCAUGUGGUUUAAUUCGAUGAUACGCGAGGAACCUUACCAGGGCUUAAAU